GAACCAUGCAAACGUUUUCGAAAUGCGAGCUGUGAAGGGUUUGAGGAAGGCUGAUAAUAUUUCACUUAUCCAGGGAAACCUUUCCAAUAAACUUACAAUUGCUCGUUUGGAAUCGACGAAGAUGACAAAGAUGUCUACUUUCAGAAUGAUGUGCUUCAAAAUCCAGUGAACUGCCAAUCAAGAUCGCCUCCAGGAAUCUCGACAAAGGGCGUCUCUGCUAUUUUAUUGAUGUUUGCACAUCAAACGUGAACUUCUGUGAAUUCAUCUUAAACCAUGCACAGUUGUUAUUAAAACCAGACCAAUUCCAACAAUAUGGAUGCAACACGCACAGACGAUAGCCUACAGCUUUCUCCUCAGAAUAAUCGGGGUUAAAGUCGAAUCUGAUGCAGGAUAUUGAACUGCCUUAAAUAAGCGAACAGUUUUAAAACACGGGGUCCAAAGUGACUCUUAGUAGAACGUACGCGUCGUUUGAGCCAAAAAGACGACUUCAAUUCAGUGACGAUCGAUCCUUUAAAAACGACGAGCGAACAGCGUGCAAAGAAUGAGGAUUAAAUAUUGCCUAUGAAAAACUUCCACCGAAGGACGACCGUACGACGACGACCAAAAGCAACGCCAUGCAAAGAAUGAGGAUUAAAUAUUGCCCACGAAACACGAUCACGGAACGACGAAGACCAACAACAACGCCAUGCAAAGAAUGAGGAUUAAAUAUUGCCCACGAAAAACGAUCACCGAACGACGACCGUACGACGACGACCAACAGCAACGCCGUGCAAAGAAUCGAUGAUUACAGUGCGACUACGAAGUAGAUGACCUGGCUUUCAAAGUUUGUGUUUCAUUUGUAUUUGGGGGCCCCUUAGGAAUUUUUAAGGUACUUUGCACUAUCCAGACUAUAUAUCUACUACGUAACUUUGCAGUAUUGCUGUGUUGGUAGCAUUUGCAUAACGCGCGCGGAGUUAGUUCGGUCAAACGUACAACAAGCGGUUACAAUAGGAAUGAAGGGUUGGGCCCCAUAAAUUUCGGACUAUAAGAAAUAUUUCUUACUUUAUGAACGUUGUAAAUAGAAAGUAAUACAAACACAAGUUUCUUAUAGGAAAUAUCGCUAAUUUCAUGAACAUUGUAAAUAUAAAGUAAAUACAAGCAUAUUUUCAUAACGCGGAAUUAGUUCGGUCAAACAUACAACAAGCGGUUACAAUAGGCAUGAAGGGUUGGGCCCCAUAAAUUUCGGACUAUAAGAAAUAUUGUAAUAAAUACAUACUUCAUGAACAGUGUAAAUAUAAAGUAAAUACAAGCACAAGUUUCUUUGAAACUUUAGAAAAUAUUGGUAACUUCAUGAACAUUGUAAAUAUCAAGUAAAUAGCUACAAGCACAAGUUUCUUUGAAACUUUAGAAAACAUUACUAACUUCAUGAACAUUGUAAAUAUAAAGUAAAUACAAGCACGUGCAAGUUUCUUUGAAACUUUAGGAAAUAUUGCUAACUUCAUGAACAGUGUAAAUAUAA
This is a long non-coding RNA of Dendronephthya gigantea, 1498 nucleotides long. RefSeq lists it as uncharacterized. Lineage: Eukaryota; Metazoa; Cnidaria; Anthozoa; Malacalcyonacea; Nephtheidae. The transcript has 3 exons. The record is from RefSeq and is a predicted model, not a curated record.